GAUGAACGCUAGCUACAGGCUUAACACAUGCAAGUCGAGGGGCAUCGCAGUGUAGCAAUACAUGGGCGGCGACCGGCGCACGGGUGCGUAACGCGUAUCCAACCUUCCCGUUACUCAGGGAUAGCCUUCCGAAAGGGAGGUUAAUACCUGAUGGUGUUUGAAUUCCGCAUGUUAUUCAAACUAAAGAUUUAUCGGUAACGGAUGGGGAUGCGUGACAUUAGAUAGUAGGCGGGGUAACGGCCCACCUAGUCUACGAUGUCUAGGGGUUCUGAGAGGAAGGUCCCCCACACUGGAACUGAGACACGGUCCAGACUCCUACGGGAGGCAGCAGUGAGGAAUAUUGGUCAAUGGUCGGAAGACUGAACCAGCCAAGUAGCGUGAAGGAUGAAGGUUCUAUGGAUUGUAAACUUCUUUUAUACGGGAAUAAAACCUCCACGUGUGGGAGCUUGUAUGUACCGUAUGAAUAAGCAUCGGCUAACUCCGUG
RNAcentral lists this ribosomal RNA (485 nucleotides) under uncultured bacterium. RNAcentral describes it as "bacterial SSU rRNA". It matches the Rfam family "Bacterial small subunit ribosomal RNA", at positions 28 to 507 of the family's 1533-position model. The record is from RNAcentral.